GCCAAAAAUCCAGCCCCUCUAACCCCAAUGAAAGCCCAACCCUACUAAUACUUAAUAAAACAUUUCUCAACUUAGUAAAGGCGAUUAAAAAGUGCCUAGGAGCCCUAACACCAGUACCGCAAGGGAAAAAUGAAAUAAAAAUGAAAUAAAUUUAAAGCACUAUAAAGUAAAGACCUCCCCCCGUACCUUUUGCAUCAUGGUCUGACUAGUAUAACCAAGCAAAACGGACUUUAAGUUUGACACCCCGAAACUAGACGAGCUACUUCAAAACAGCCUUCACGGGCAAAUCCAUCUCUGUCGCAAAAGAGUGGAGAGAUUUUCAAGUAGAGGUGAUAAACCUACCGAGCCUAGAGAUAGCUGGUUAUUCAGGAAAAGGAUACAGUCCAACUUUAAGUCUAUCCGUAACACCCAAUACCACCACAGACUUAAAUUUUAUUCAAAUAGGGCACAGCCUAUUUGAAACAGGAUACAGCCUAUAAUAUAGGGUAAUGCCCCCAAUAAUGUGACCAAGUAGGCCUAGAAGCAGCCACCUUUUAGAAAGCGUUACAGCCCCACCAUAACCUAACCUCAAUCCCAAUCAAUACCCAAAACCCAUCACCCCUACUGAAUGACUCCAUAUAAAUAUGGAAAACCUUAUGUUAGAACUAGUAACAAGAACAGCCACUCUCCCACAAGCAAGUGUAACCCGGACUGAACCAAUCACCGGCACCUACCGCCAAUGAAAUUAUAAUAAUAACCCCCCCACAAGAAAACCUUAUCUACCCUAAGCGUUAACCUUACACUAGAACUUCCCAGGAAAGAUUAAAAGAAGGGGAAGGAACUCGGCAAACAUUAACCCCGCCUGUUUACCAAAAACAUCGCCUCCCGCCACCAAUGAGAGGUCCAGCCUGCCCAGUGACAAGCUUAAACGGCCACGGUACCCUAACCGCGCAAAGGUAGCACAAUCACUUGUUCUUUAAAUCAGGACUAGUAUGAACGGCACCACGAGGGUUAUACUGUCUCCCCCCUCUAAUCAGUGAAACUAAUCUCCCCGUGAAGAAGCGGGGAUAAACCUAUAAGACAAGAAGACCCCAUGGAGCUUUAAACUAAGUACCACCUGCCCAUCCCCACAUCACCCCAACCCAGCAGACCUGCCCUACUAGUUUUCGGUUGGGGUGACCGCGGAGAAAAACAAAACCUCCACGACGAAAGGACCUUCAUCCUAAUCAAAGGGCUACCACCCAUAGAAUCAUUAAAUUGACCAAAAUUGACCCAAUACCUUGAGCAACGAACCAAGUUACCCUGGGGAUAACAGCGCAAUCCACUUCAAGAGCCCCUAUCGACAAGUGGGUUUACGACCUCGAUGUUGGAUCAGGGUACCCCAGUGGUGCAGCCGCUACUAAAGGUUCGUUGUUCAACGAUAAAAU
RNAcentral lists this ribosomal RNA (1406 nucleotides) under Oreophryne anulata (Davao cross frog). Its description in RNAcentral is "partial 16S ribosomal RNA". It matches the Rfam family "Bacterial large subunit ribosomal RNA", at positions 260 to 2593 of the family's 2925-position model. The record is from RNAcentral. Lineage: Eukaryota; Metazoa; Chordata; Amphibia; Anura; Microhylidae.